Molecule: non-coding RNA, 97 nt
Filed under: unclassified sequences
Description: Rhodo-rpoB RNA
Rfam family: Rhodo-rpoB RNA
Source: RNAcentral
GGAUCGAGUGGCACGCGGUGGGACGCGCGCCGAGAAUGGAUCCGAUUGACUGUCAUCACUGACGCGCCGGCGGCUGUGGCCCCCGACAGCCGGUCCG